AGCUCUGAGCGCGACCCUACCCGGCUCGGGCCCGCAGCAGCCCCGAUUGUCCGAGAGCCUCUCCGAAAGCAAGGCUCUGCGCCGCCCUCUGAGCCCACCUCCUGGCCACAACGCUGCCUGCGCUUCUCCAGCCCAGGCCGGAAGCCCUAUGCUGCCUCCAGAAGCCGUUGGAACUCAAGGUCCCCUUUCACUCCCUUCUUGAGUACCCCUAGCACUUGCUGGGUUGGAGGAGCAGGGAACUCUCGGUUCUCCACUCAGGACUUUCUGGAAGCCCAUCUUCGUAUGCUCACCAGCCCACCCUCCUACGCUGGUCAGAGUGAGAUUGCUAAUCUCAAGACCCCAUUCAAUGCCAGCUUUCAACUACUGCUGAAGACCAAUGUAGGUCCUGGAAUAGAAGAACUGCAGAGUAUGCAGACAAAAGCUACCAUGUCCGCUUGGAGUGACGCCCAGACACGCACAGAGAUGUACAGGAAGCCAAGGAGAGUGGGAUUCACCAGAGUACAGUACAAGUACAGAGUACAGUGCAAGAUGCCCAGU
RNAcentral lists this long non-coding RNA (537 nucleotides) under Mus spretus (western wild mouse). RNAcentral describes it as "lncRNA (ENSMSPG00010020668.1)". Lineage: Eukaryota; Metazoa; Chordata; Mammalia; Rodentia; Muridae. The record is from RNAcentral.